Molecule: long non-coding RNA, 623 nt
Organism: Polistes dominula (European paper wasp)
Lineage: Eukaryota; Metazoa; Arthropoda; Insecta; Hymenoptera; Vespidae
Source: RefSeq, a predicted model, not a curated record
UCCACAAUCAUAGAUUACUAUUUGUUUUAUUAGAAUAGCUUUUUUUUAUUAAUGUAAUAUCAAACAUUUUGUAAUGACGUAAACAACACGAGACAAUUGAAAUAUGGAUAAUUAUAAUAGGUGAUAAAUCGUUGAGUUAACAAUAAGAGUGGUUUUGUUGGUUCCUACUUAUAAGUUUAAUUAAUUAUCCCUUUGAUUGUUUUGAAUUUAUUUAAACUAUCUAUAGUGCAUGUAUGUAUUGUAGUACGAUUUACUCAUAUUUGUUGGUGUCUAGUGAUGUAAAUAACAACAAAAGUGCAAAAUAUAACCAACUUUGAUAGGAGGAAGCCCAGAGCAUUCAAACGUCUCGGAUGCUGCGGCAAUGUCUGUGAUUAGAUCUCUUAAUGACAUAGAUCCUCGUAUAGCUAUAACGAUACUAGAGGUCUUAUGAUCGGCUAUUACACAAAAAGCUUACUUCACAUAAAUGGUUCUUAAAACUUGCGAAGAGAAUAUCGUCAUCUGAUAAUUUUGACGUAUAUUUUACUCCGGAUAAAUGGCAAAAACAACAAUUGUCAUCCAGGAUAACUUCUCGUUUUUUUCUAACAAAAUACAAUUAUAUAAUAAUACUAGACCCGUAUAAAAAA